Molecule: long non-coding RNA, 346 nt
Organism: Lingula anatina
Lineage: Eukaryota; Metazoa; Brachiopoda; Lingulata; Lingulida; Lingulidae
Source: RefSeq, a predicted model, not a curated record
GGGAAGCGUCCAAGGCGUAUGGUGUUUCACUGAGAUUGAAAACCCUUAAAGAGAAAAGAAAAGGAGAUGAGACCCUGGAAAAUCGCAACGUGAAAACAAAGUGGCUGGACGGCAAGAAAUACAGCGACCUGAUAGUGCUGGGGUUUCCUUGGAAGAACACAGACGAUGACGUGAAGUCUUACUCCUCACAGUUUGGUGAAGUCAGCAUGGCAUAGAAUUCGAUUAUGCCAUGUCCUGAUAGGGCUCCCACUUUUCGUAAGAAGAUUCCAGUCUGUUUAUGAGGUGGCUGCAUGCGGGAACACCAGAAGCAUGUGGUGUUUCGCUGAAAUGGAAACCUUCAAAGCCG